UCUCUACAACCGCACAGAAAAGGUUUUAAGUAUAAUCACCUUAAUGGCGAGUCUGAGAUUAAA
This 63-nucleotide small RNA is filed under the name chicken gut metagenome. The record is from RNAcentral.